UGCCUACUGCCCGUUAUCGCGGUAGGAACUCGGCCGCGCUGUGGGAUGGUACGAAACAUCCUUAGACGUUCAUCGUCAAGGGUUCGGUGUGAGGUGGGGUUCGAUGCCC
RNAcentral lists this non-coding RNA (109 nucleotides) under Paenibacillus lactis. RNAcentral's name for it is "epsC RNA". It matches the Rfam family "epsC RNA". Lineage: Bacteria; Bacillati; Bacillota; Bacilli; Caryophanales; Paenibacillaceae. The record is from RNAcentral.